CAGUAGCCGCGGUAAUACGGAGGGGGCUAGCGUUGUUCGGAAUUACUGGGCGUAAAGCGCACGUAGGCGGCUUGGUAAGUUAGAGGUGAAAGCCUGGAGCUCAACUCCAGAAUUGCCUUUAAGACUGCCGAGCUAGCAGGUGAGAGAGGUAAGUGGAAUUCCGAGUGUAGAGGUGAAAUUCGUAGAUAUUCGGAAGAACACCAGUGGCGAAGGCGGCUUACUGGCUCAUACUGGACGCUGAGGUGCGAAAGCGUGGGGAGCAAACAGGAUUAGAUACCCCAGUAGUCCCUGUCUCUUAUAA
Molecule: ribosomal RNA, 301 nt
Filed under: uncultured bacterium
Lineage: Bacteria
Description: partial 16S ribosomal RNA
Rfam family: Bacterial small subunit ribosomal RNA
Source: RNAcentral